Molecule: transfer RNA, 73 nt
Filed under: Camelus bactrianus (Bactrian camel)
Lineage: Eukaryota; Metazoa; Chordata; Mammalia; Artiodactyla; Camelidae
Also listed under: 2 other names
Rfam family: tRNA
About the family: Transfer RNA (tRNA) molecules are approximately 80 nucleotides in length. Their secondary structure includes four short double-helical elements and three loops (D, anti-codon, and T loops).
Source: Rfam by way of RNAcentral
GAGGGUAUAGCUCAAGUGGUAGAGCACAUACUUAGCAUGCAUGAGGUUUUGAGUUCAAUCCCCACUACCUCCU